This 711-nucleotide ribosomal RNA is filed under the name Cryptaphelenchus sp. NK-2010. RNAcentral's name for it is "eukaryotic LSU rRNA". It matches the Rfam family "Eukaryotic large subunit ribosomal RNA", at positions 381 to 927 of the family's 3401-position model. The record is from RNAcentral. Lineage: Eukaryota; Metazoa; Nematoda; Chromadorea; Rhabditida; Aphelenchoididae.
AAGAGAGUGCAAGAGAACGUGAAAUCGAUGCAAUGGAAGCGGAUGAAGUCGCCGUAUCUAGUGCGUAUUCAGUUGUUGUCGACGUAGAUCUUGAGUGUGUUAUUCCGCAAGGUUGGCUAGCUCUUGUUGUCUGCGUUGGCGUCAAUGCAUUUGCGUACAGAGUGCAACGGGUCGUUGAGGGUCGUGGAACGGAGUGCAUUCUAGAGGACCAACCUCGGUUGGAAACCUGGAUUGUGCCGAGAGCCAUUGGCCUUCUUCGGUUUUUGUAGGGUUCAUGGCUUACGACUUGGCUAUGCUUGUUUUAUGGGGUUUGAGGUGAACACAUGUGUUCGCUUCUUAUGCUGUGRAAUAGGUGUGGUCGAUGUCACUUGGACCUUCUCGUUGUAUUGGCGAUCACUUAUCCGACCCGUCUUGAAACACGGACCAAGGAGUUUAUAUUACACGCAAUUUAUUGAGCGUAAAAACUCAAAAGAGCAAUGAAAGUGAAUAACUGUCUUCGGACAGCAACGUGAUUGUUGGCUCAUUCGUGGGCCAGCACGCAACGUUGCCCCAUUCCAAAGGCUUGCCUUGGGGUGGAGGUUGAGCGUGUGAAAUGAGACCCGAAAGAUGGUGAACUAUGCCUGAACAGGAUGAAGCCAGAGGAAACUCUGGUGGAAGUCCGAAGCGGUUCUGACGUGCAAAUCGAUCGUCUGAUUUUGGUAUAGGGGCGAA